Long non-coding RNA from Falco peregrinus (peregrine falcon), 26784 nucleotides. RefSeq lists it as uncharacterized. The record is from RefSeq and is a predicted model, not a curated record. The transcript is spliced from 3 exons. NCBI's taxonomy places the organism in Eukaryota, Metazoa, Chordata, Aves, Falconiformes, Falconidae.
UCUGCUUUAAGCCCUUGGAGCUCUGGUUGCUCAGGGGCACCCAUGUGGGUAAUUCUCUUCUGCAGGUUUCUAGGCAGGAUCUUGUGCCAGUGUUAUUUUCAGCAGGAAUACCUAAGGGGUUGAACCCAUCCCAUCUGACUGGCAGCAGCGCCGUGCAGAGAGGGCACAUAACGUACACCCACGCCGGACUGCGCCCUCGGCGCUCUGGCUGCUCCCCCACUGCUGCUGCUGCACUGCCUUCUCAGUGGGUUGAUAAACUUUGCAUUGGCAUUUCUGCAGAAGGUACCUGGCAGCAGACUCCUAUCAGUAUUUUAAUUACUUGCCCUAUUGGGCUACCUUGUUGAGCAGUCUUCUUCAGCCCUAUAACCAACUUCUUAAUACUCCCCGCCAUGGAACAAUACUAAAAUGUAAGGAAAAGCUUGCUGCACUGAUGCAAUGUCCAAGAGCAGUGGAACUACUAUAAGAAGACUUGAAACUGUAUUGUGGUCCUUAGAUAAAUCCCACAGUUUAAACAGCAAUCUCCAGUACAUUCUCCAGUGCAUGACACUGCCUUCUCACCUUAGUAAAAAAAAAGAGCAAAAUAGAACCAAAACUUCAGACUUUUUAGCAAACCGGGACAAAAAGUACAUAAAGAGACCCCUGACAACCCAGACUCACUAUAGGAUCAGCAGGUAUCACCACAGUAUAAUUCCUUGUGAUGAUGGUAUAUCAUUAGUCUUAUUAAUAAUUAAAAAAACCUCCUGUCAGUAUGCUUUAUAAAUACUGCAAUUAACCCUUAUAACAUUUCUGUGAGACAGCGGGGGGAAAAAAAUCAAAGCACUUUAUCAGUGAAGAAACGCACACAAAGAAAGAAAAUGCAUUUUGUCUAAACCAAGGCGAUAAGCAAUCAGUGAUGGAUUUUGUACUGGAAUGUGGGUGUUGGCGAUGCCUUCGACUGGGCUCAGCCCACAUCACCACACUGCUCCCCUGUCAGGAGGUCAGAGUUGGAACAGUGCUGGUGGGAAAUCCACAGCUACUUAAGGGCUUGAAUGUACUGACCCCAUACGUUCACGGCAGCAGAAGAAAAUCACAUGGAUAAAAUCCAAUAGCUUAGGCACCCAAUCAAAGCAGAUUUUUUAAAAACUUUUUAUUAAAUGUGAGCCCAUCUGCCUCCCUAAAUGUCAACGCAGGCAUGCUAGAGGGAAGACAAAAAGGCCAGAGGAAUACUUGGGCUGUUGCCUGUGAAAUUUAUUCUUGUUCUGACCCCUCUCUGCUGGUGAAAGCAGAGAGCAACUGGGGGCUUAAAACUAAUGGACUUCAGCUUCAGAGCAACUUUAGACAGGGUCCAUGAAUUUGAGCCCCGGCUUAGCAGCAUGCAAUCCAGUGACUCAUACAGUCGAGAUUCAAGGAUUCACGGCAUGCCUUCAGCUAGGCAUAUCCUGGGAAGGAGAAAGGAUGCAGUAGUAGGUUAGGGAGUCAGGAACAUCACAAUAAUGUUUUGAAAGGAGUUCCUGUACUGUUUCCAAUCUCCCCUUCAAGUCAACAACACAUUUAGGAAUAACCACAACGUUAAAGAAGCUGAUAAAUACUGCACUUCACUCUCCUCCUCAGGCUGGCCUUCAGACGGGAUCAAGAGGCUGAAAUGACUCUAGCAACAUUAGUGGAUGACCUCAUGGUGGCUAAUGGACAUCGUACAAACCUCUGUGCCACAAUCCCUGUCUAAACAAAUACUCACUUUGCCUCUCCCACACAACAGCUGGGAACCUGGCAAACACCAGCCAGCCUCCGGCACUCCUGUGAAGCAGGCAAGCACUGUCCGUGUUUUAAAAAGAGAACCGAGUUAUCAUAACAGUCGAUUAUUUGCACCCAGUACCUAAGUGGCUGCACUAAGAACUGUGCCUUGACCCUUCAGGAAACCUUUUCUGAUGAUCCUUCUACUGGUAGCCGAGACACAAGCUCUUUCCCCGAGGCAGAAGGUUCUCUGUGCUGGGGAGGAUGAGGUGGCGGUGGGGCACAAGGGCACUGAGCUGAGCACUGCUGCACGGCUGGAUGCUGGUGACAGUGGGGGCACAAUGCUGCAGCUGCCUCCAUCGCCCCAGCAGGACUUAAGGAGCUCUCUACUGUACUUCCCCAGUGUACUUUACAGAUGAUGGACUGUUUUGGCCAAGAAGGGGAGAGACCUUCUCACUCUGCAUCUAGGAGAGGUCAACAGCUCCUCUAACCAGUAAAUCCUUGUCUGAGAGCUGAGACUUGUGCAUAUGGUAUUAAAACAACUGUUUACAGCUGCUUUUGUGGGGGAAGGGUUAAUACAAAAAUCUUUUAUUUUUGAGAAAGUAAUAUGGAUUUUGGCUUCUUUUUUUUAUCUUUAAAGAAAAAAAACAAUUCUACUUUUUCCCCUUAAAAAUAAAAAAUAAAUGAAGUAUUAAUUUGAUUCAAUCUGAAAAGCCAUUUUUCAUUAAAAAGUAGUCUGAAUUUAUCAUGUGAACAGCUCUGGUGGUAAAGUAAUUGACCAGUGAUGUUGACAAAAUAUCCCAAUGACUACUAGAAUUCCUUUGCAAAGAACAGAUACAGCUAGUGGGACUGAAAUGUAGUUGGAAUAGAAGAAAAUAUUUGGAAGAUCUUGCUAAAAGUAAUUUUUCAUCAAAGACAUUAGCACUCUAUUUGUCAAAGCAUUCAGAAAGCUUCUUAAUUCUGCUGGUCUCAUUGCUAAUGCUGCUGCUUAUGUUGGGACAGUAAUAAUCUCCCAUUUAAUAGGAAGCCACAUUCUUUCCUUUUGGGCGAGGAUUUGCAAAUGGCAGUCUAUUCAUUCAUUUAUCAAUUCCAGAUGCAUUUAAUAGUCUUUCAAACUGAAAGUGGGGAAACAAAAAUUAGAUUAAUUGUAAUAUGGCAACAGUCUUCAGUACAUUAUACCAUGUUUUCUGCCCUCUAAGGACUCCUAAAUCACUUCAACUACCAUUUUGGUGCCUUGGUUGUAUUGAGAGCAGGGAAACCUCCAGCCCUGACUUAAUUUGGGAUGAGCCACCAGCACGUGAAGUGUUCUUUCUCCUCCUAUCUUUCACCUGUCUUUUCUCUAUAAAAUCCCUCUUUCCCUUUCUGCUUCCAGCCUCACAUUACCUGGAUGCUGCUCUGCUCCUCCACUAUCUCUCCACUUGUGCUGCACAGUGGAUGUCCUGUCUGGCCUUUGGCAGGGAGGAAAUUCCCUGGCCUGGCCUGUCUUUCCUUGUUGUGCUCUAGUCCAGUACCAGACACAAGAGAAGCUACUACUUCAUUCAUAGCCACAGCAAGAGGCAGUCUUUCUGGAGGGAGUGCAGCUAUGAAGUCCUCCAAGGAGGAUAGCUCAUGGAAGUUGGAGAAAAAGCAUUCUUGGUUAAGGAUGCUCAAGUUUAAAAUGUGGAGUGGAAGAAAAGUAAAUGAACCACAUCAAUGGUAUUUUUAACACUGUGAAAGGCAGUAUUUUCCCAGUCUUGCAAGGACAGAAAAAACAGAACAGAACCAACCAAGCACUCAGAGCUCAGGGAACGUAGAGGGCAGGCAAAGUGCAGAAGCCUCUAGGGACAAUGCAUUGCACAUCACAAGUGCCAGUUCUUGCUAUUAAUACAGCACAAACUGUUUAUGCUCCCUGCUUCCUUCUCAGUGAGAGAUGGGCAACUUACCUUGCGUCUGGAGCAGGCGUGUGCAAAGCAAAAGCAUACAGAUAGGCAUAACAGAGCAGAUGGAGAACAUAUGAGUCAAAGCAUGCUCUGUAAACAGAAGUUAUAGAAGAGGACAGGUGGAAGAAGACUUUUCUAUUAAGUGCUCUUAAUAGCAUUUCCUUAGCAGCCUAUUCCUUUAGCAUAAGAAAGCAGUCCUUCUUGUAAGGAACUGGAAAAUAUUUGUUUUACUGAUUGCUUUGGGAGAGAAUAAGUUUUGGGAAUCUGAACUAUGAGAUGAAAGCUCAGCACUGCUAAUGAUAUUUGUGUAGGAUGUACAUAUCUUAGCCUGGAGGCUCACACAGGCUGAGUAUGUAACCUACAAGCUGUAUAUUUCAAAGAGAAGACAUACAGCUUUCCAGCAUUUUCUCAUUUCCGUUUCAGGUCUUCAUUCUAUCUUAAUCUUUUUUAAGAAAGAAUGAAAGAUGAGGAAAGUUUCUGGAUAUCACUCUUUAUUUUGCAUUUGCUGACAUAAAAAAGGGAAAAUAAUGGGAAAAUGGAUAAAUUGGGAGGAAGAAAAUCCAUAAUGGUAAAAAUCCAAACCAUUGCAGGUUAAUUUUUGAUGAAAAAAACAGAUUUAUCCAAAAAUUAUGAAAAAGAAGGUUCUACCUAAAGACAAAGGUUUAUUUUUUGUUGGAAAUAGCUUUUAGUUAUUAUAUUCAGGUUUUGAUACCUUCCACCUAUAAAGUGCUAGUAAGUACAAAAUUUUAAAAAUCCACCACAAGUUACAUAAUGUACUUUAAUUAUACACCUUAUUCAUGUACUUUAUUAACAUCCACACAUAGAUACAUCUGCAUAUCUUGUUUAUAUAAAACUCUUACUAUUUUAAAUCUAAGUUAUCAGCAAACUUAAAAUAUCCGCAAAAUAACAUACGUUCCUGUUUUCACCAUAAGAAUGUAAGUAUGAGAGCUACAUGGAUCUUCUUAAGAUCCUGAUGAAGUAUUUUGGCUUCUUGAGGCACACCACCUCUUUGUAGUAUUUUCAGAAAGAAAUCUGCUGUUUUUGUUAAAGCCUACAUGCAACCACCCAGUAAAUAAAUGCAUGUGUCUCCUGGCAGGUCAAUUAUUCUCAAGGUUUCCACUCAAAGAUGAAGUCCUCUUUCCCUCCUCUCUCUGCCAUGUUUGAAUUCUGACAUUUGCUUGCUGAAGGGAUGAAUUAACUCAGAGGCAAUAUUUCUGUAUUUUAACUGCCUAAAGAAUGUCCAGCAAGGAGAGCUUGUUUUAUUUCCCUCAAAGUCAUGUUGCCAUAAUACUGUAUUUCACUUGACAUAGGUAACUCUUACAGUCCACAUACAAACAGAAAUGAUGUUGCCACUUCUGUGUCUCAAACAAUCUUUUUCACGAUGUCUGGAUUACCUAAAACCACUUUGAUAACCUUGGUGCAGUUUAGAUAUACAAGAGAAUUUAGCACAACCAGUGUGGUUUUUUGCCAAAUGUUAUUUUUUAACACUUCCUCCUAUGAAUCCUAAACCACUUUUUGUUAUUCAUCUCACUAACCAUUCAUGGAUGAAUGGCAAUUGCUGAAUAUCUUAGAAACAACACCUUGAAAAUGUCAUUCAAAUCAAUUUUUCAACAGCAUGAGAGGCUAGGAGGUAAUUCACACUUCUUUUAUAAUAAUAUUCUAUAAGAGGUACUGUAGUCAUCUGCCUUGCCACCACCCCCUCCAAAAGCAAAGGAUUAGAAAUUCACUCUGAUUUAGUGCAGCUAAAUGUACCAGGCAGAGAAAAACAGUGCAGAAAGAAUAUGCUAUUAAGACUGGUAAAUCAUGAGAAAAGCCACCUCCAUUAUUGCUGCAAAACUAACCUGUUUCUCCCAGCUCAGCAAAAGCAUGGGAGAAGAAUUCUGCAAGCCAAAUCUGGAAAAUGUCUUUCCUUCUGUAAAGAGCAUUAAUCCAUGGCCAGCAACUCCUGAAGCAUCCAAGCCUGGCAUCUUGAACACUGCCUCCUUCUAAUAAGAGAAGCUCAGAACCCGCUUUUGCCUCCUAAAUAUCAGCUACUUAUUGACAACUACAGAGUCCCUCCUCCUGAAGUGGUGACACCUUAGGGCUGCACUGAACCUCUCCUGAUCCUAAGAUGUCAAGAGAGCAUUAUUCCAGCAUUUGCUCAUAUCCAGCUCUGCCAUGACUCUAAAACCAGCAGCAGCUCAAGCCCCAAGCUGGGACAGGGACCUAGAGACCCCCUGUGGCUAAAAGGCCAUUUCAUCCUUUCAAGAGGCGACUGGUGAACGAGGAGAUACCAGCUAAGAAGUUCAGGCCACAAGACUUGUCCUGCAUCUGACACUUCAGAUCAGUUUCUGUUGUUGUCACCAUGUUCCCGGAGCACCUUAAAGCAACAGCAGAUUUGGACCAUGGCUGAGGAAUGCAUGAAGCAACCAAACCCAAACCAUCCCUUUUCAAAGUCUUGUUGUAUUACUGAAAGCAGAUGUAGAAAAGCACCAGCACUGCUAUUGCUAAGCUAAUUUCCGCGGUGUAUUCUACGUACACAGACUAAACCAAAGGAACACAAAAAAGAGGGGGAAAUAUUGCCUCUUUCCUCUAAUCAGACAUGCAGACCAGGCAUCUUCCUGUAAGUCAGAUCCUUUCAGGCAAAACCUCUGAUAAAUCUUACAGCUAAGGGUGAACCCACUUUUUAGCAUAACAUUUGAACCUAAGCUCAUUGCUUCUGGUGACUUCAUAUGAAGGAUGCUGGCACCACACAGUCAAGGACGCUGUAGCUUAAACUCCUCAAGGUGCAUGCUGCAUAAUCAUUCUUUCAUUUGACAUACAGAACGGCAUGUACUUGCCAUGAGCCUCAGCCUUACAGGGCUGCUGGGGAGGCUGCACAUAUUCUGCUCUAUUUAGGGCCUUCUCCAGCUCUCCUGGUCAGAACAGUUUACCACUCUGUCAGUCUGACCAGUGCCUCACAUACGGAAAGAUUUCUCUUCCCUUCCAUCACACCUGCAAGCAACAAAGCUGACCUGCAGGCCAAAAAACCCCACCUAACCCAUUUGAAUCCUUCUGAUUUUCAGCACGUUCCAGGAUGAUUCCCACAGUCUCCAUCAUGGGGCUGAGGAGCUCAUCUCAUGCCCAUGUGAUAAGAUAUCCUCUUCCCCAUAGCUCACCUGCAAGCACUGCUGAGCAUGACCACCAUUCUGCGCAGCACCUCCCACGUGGUGGAAGACAUACCCUGAGAGAGAAGAGGAACUUCUAUGGUGACGUUUCUGGGCUGCUGAAGGGCCGAACAGGUCCCUCAGGUAGGUCAGGGGAGCUUCAGAGACUCACCAGCCUGGAAGUAAAGCUGUGAUGUCUCAGGAAUAAUUUUAAAGCGAAUUCCUUACAUUGCUUACAGGUUUGGACCUUCCCAUUUUUGAAGCAGUUGAAGAUUUGACCUUCCCGUUACGCUCCCUACCAGCACUGCAGCUACUGAGCUGCUCGCACGUUGCCUGUCUGUCCAUCCCAUCGGAGAACAUUUCCUGUUAAAAGAAUUUUUGGCACAGCUGCUUCAUUCUGCUCAGGGAGCAAAAGUCCAUGCACUGAUUAGCAAUUGAUUUUCUAAGAAGUACCCUACAAAUCAGGUCUCCUCUCUCUGUUUGCCUUCACAUUUCUGCCGGAGCCUCUAUAACUAAUUUAAACAGACACAAGCACUUCUCCUCCUCUCCUUUUUGAUGCGAGCUGUUCCAACAGACUGUGUAGCGAAGCUGCAGCAAUUUCAAAGGCUUCCGCUCCCUGCGCAGAAGGGAGCAGCUGCAGGAAUAGCUCUUUGAAGAGGAAAUGGCACCCAAUGGGACUGGCAGGCAGCGCCGAGCUGAGCUCAAACAGCCCCCGAAGUCCUUGGGAGCAUCUGAGGACAUCAAAAGAGGAAAGAUCUAGGCUGGGAGAAGCCUGAAGAAUUAAUUUAAAAGACUUCCCCCCAUCCCUGCAGCUUUCUUCUGUGUGAGCAGCAGGGUCUGAGAGGAACAGUCUUCCUCACAUUCAGCUCAGAUGAUCCUACACAUAUCGAAAGGCUGGAAAUAAGGGUUGAACAUGAGGGGUAGUUGCAUUCCUGAUUUAUUUAUUAAAUAUAAAUGUAUAGAUAUGUAUACAAACACAAACAUAUCUAUGAAAAUAUUGUAUUCCUGCAUAUUAUUAAAAAUCUACUAUAUUUCUAUUAAUAUAAAUAAGCAUACUACUGUAUUUCAAAGUGACCAUAAACCACUCACAGGGCUUCAUGGACAUUUACCUGGUUAACUGAUGGACUCACUGAUGUGAUUUCUCUCAAUGAAAAGGUACAUUUUUAAUGGUGUUAUUUACAGCACAGAACACACUUUCCCACUAUCCUAUUCAAGUGAUUUACAGCAAAUUCAAUAGACAAAAUAAGGAAAUCUCUGUUUCACACAUAAGAAUUUGUGCACAGGUAUAUAUAUAACCCCUCUGUCCUCAAAGCAUGCAACGUCACUGACUUAUAGCUGAACUUCAUAACUAAUGAAAAUUCCUAGUCCUGACUUAACAGGCCUCAGACCUAAUGGGACUGCAUCCAGUGAAUCCCUAUGGCCUGCACCACCCUUGCAGGACUUCUCCAGCGGAGCGGUAGUUCAAAGAGCAGUCAAAUUUUAGUGGCAGGACCCCCACAACAGUAUUAGACCAAAUGCAUGUUCUUUUCUGAACACUGCAUGCUUCUCUAAUUACUUAUAUAUAAAUAGAUGCCAUUUUACUACACUCUGCUACUGUGCGUAACCAACAUGUUGUCCUGAAAAAGAACUGAAACAACACAUCCUGCAAAUGCCUCCUCUUUGUCCGAUUGCACUAAUUAUACACCCGCCGCAUCAAACUUUUUCCAUCUUUGUCCUCCUAACCGGCAAAUUCUGCUUUUUCCCCAUCAGUUUUGCACUGCUUUUCUCUCUUCACUUCUGAAUUUUGCUUCUGGAAGAAUUUAAGUUCAUGGACAUACAAGCCUGAGUUAAGCAGUGCACAGACCUACUGUGCGUGCCUGUUUAUGCCCACACUUCUGCAUACCCCCUGGCAGAGAUGUGGUGAGCCUUUUUUCUGAGACCGUGCUGAGUUUGGCAGGACAACCCUGCAUCCUGGCAGGAACUGCCCUCCAACAACUUUGCUCUAUAAACAGGUUCGCUUUGCUAUUAACAUUAUGCUUCAUUGUCCUGAUAUUGCCCAACAAAUUAUGACAAAGCAUUAUAUUGUGACUAUUUUAUUAAACAUUACAGUGAACUGACUAAUGAACUUCAUUAAAAACACUUUUCCUAAGCAUACAGGGUGCUUAACUGAGUUACUAGAUGAUGUGGAAAAAUGAUACAGGCAACUAAGAUGAGAUCAGUGGAAUAAUUCUAAUUUGCACUUUUCUUGAAGUGCAAGAUUUGCUGAUACUCCUUGACACCUCACAUCUUAGUUGUAUUUUCAAAGUCUGACAGGUUCAGUUGUUGAGAGACAAAAACUCCACAGCCAGUUGUUUAUACUUCUGACAGCAAAAUUAAAAUGCAGAGCAGGAAAUAAACUGAAAUGGUCUCAUACUUGAAUGGAAUAUAAACAUUCUGCUUAAUUAGGUCACUAAGCAUAUGUUUGUUUACUUGGAUAUUUUCUCUCUGGCAGUUCAUGUCUGGGUAACACAACUACCUCGCUGGAGAUAGUGGAAUUCCCACAGCAGACAACAUGAAGUUGGUAAUUUUGAGGCCAGAGAAGUAUGCUUAUUAGCACUAUUUCAAGUACCUCAUAAAGAAGAGAGCUAAAGUGCAAGAGCAAUACAUGUCUCACUGGCUUCUGUGUCAGGUUGGUGCCCACACAAAAGACAGCAGAGCCAUUAGGGAGCUGAUUGUAGCUCUCUGCAUUUCUGCCUGUCCCUGAUUUACCUUCUUAGUUGACUGUAAUGCAGAGAAGGGUGUAGAAGCUAGCAAUGACUAUUCCAUACAUAUAGAAAAUCUUCCCAUGUUGCAAACCAAGAGGCACAAGCAAUAUUGCUGUCUACAUUUGUCUCAUGUGACUACUAUGUUAAUUUUUUCUGGAAGGGCUGGGGAGGAAGAAGUUUGAAAGUCUUGCACUGUCCCCUAAAAGCUGACCAGGGAAUUAGAAAAUAAUUACAGUUUUUAAAGAUUUCAGUGCAGUUGAUCUGAAGAGAAAUGGCACCAGCAGCUUGGAGUGUCGGUCUGAGUUCAGUGACCCUCUCCUUAAAGCUGGCUGGAAGCAAACCGAGUUCCUGAUUUCAUUUCAGCUGAACAAACUCCUAUUAGUCCGCUGUGCCCCAAAGGCAUGGAGGCCACCUCUCAGUUUCUCGCUGUUGGCACAUGGGGCCUAGAAAUCCCCGCAUCAGUUGUGCACACGCUGUCUAAAGCACAGCCUUGAUUGUAAGAGACAAAGAAGACCAGUUCCUACAAAGAGCUGAAGAAGCACGUUUACUGCUAUGAUUCACAGCUGUUUGCUAAUGCUGAGGCUGAGGCAAUAAUGCUGAAUCCUGGGAUCCACAGGAAUACCCACAGGCCCAGAAACCCUAAGCCUGACCCCUUCUGCCUUUCACCUCGCCAUUGUUCUGUUCACAGGCUUCAAUCCUCACCUCCUUUUCGGCUCUCUGUCACAGAAUUCCCUCUCUGCUGCCCUCUUCUUCCUUGCCAUGUUCCCAGAUCCCCCGCCCAGCCUUCACCUCCCCCAGCAACUCACAUGGCACACUACAUCCAUCCCUUAAUGAUCUCUCUGUGCUUCAUCCUCAUCCAACUGCUUCCAUGUGGUUGUUUCUUGCCUGUCCCCCACACUCAUUGGGUACCACCAAGGAAAAGGUAAGGACACAGAAGAGCUAGGUUUGCAACAACUGAAAAGCUGUAGAUUGCCAUAUGACCACCUCUAAAAGUCUUGGAUUUUGGGUCCUAUCCUUAAGCCCGGUGUUUUGGUUUCAGCUGGGAUGGAGUUAAUUAUCUCCUUAGGAGCUGGCAGGGCGCUGUGUUUUGGCUCUGAUGUGAGAUUUUUCAGUUCCUCAGGCCUCAUUAGCAAGACGGCUGGAGGGACACAAAGAAUUGGGAGGGGACACAGCCAGGACAGCUGACCCGAACUAGCCAAAGAGGUAUUCCAUACCAUGGGACACCAUGCCUGGUAUAUAUACGUGGGGGGCUGGCUGGAGUAGGCAGAUCAUUGCUUGGGCACUGGCUGGGCAUCGGCCAGCAGGGGUGAGCAGCUGCACUGUGCACCACGUGUUCCUUUCCCUCUGGAUUUUGUUCUUUCCCUUCCCCUUUUCAUUGCAACUGUUAUUGUCAUCGUUGUUAUUACUGUUCUUUCAUUUUUAUUCUAUUUCAAUUAUUAAUUGGUUCUUAUCUCAACCCUCAAGAUUUACAUUCCUUUCCGACACCCCUCCUCAUCCCUCUGGGUGAGGGGGGAGUGAGCGAGCAGCUGCGUGGGGCUUAAUUACCAGCCAGGGUUAAACCACAACACCCGGCUUUCCGGAGGAAUAUGUGACGAACACUCUGGCAUGUCUCAGUGCCACAGAAACACGAAGUGAUUUCAGUCCUGCCUCGGAAGAGGUGUCUCUUGCACAAGGCAUGUAAGGAAAUCACUUGAGCCAAUAGCUUGAAUGUUGCUAUUUCAUUUGUCAUAGGCAAUGAACCCCGCUGCCUGUGCACACAUCUCAUCAGUUGAAUCUGCACGUUGCAACAAACUUGGAAACAAUUUUUUUAGAAAAGCAUGCUGUUUUUAAAUGCUGUACAUGUAUCUGAUCUCUGCUACUCUGAGAUGCUACCAGGAAAACUGAUUGUGAAGAUAAAAAGGGUGAGAAAAUGGACUAUUAACUCAAGAAUACCAUUGGUCACCUUGCAAAGAGGAAAAGACGACAAAUCCUUAUUGCUUAAUGCAAGAUCUCGAGCCACAUCGCUGAAAGGCAUGCCUGUACAGACACAUUCACUACUUGCAAUUCCUGUACAACCACAGAAAUCCCCGGCAAUCUGGAGAGCAAUGCCAUCAGAAGUCAUGGUUGCCCUUCCUGCUCCAGGCAGAAACAUGCUCAGUCCUGAGGACAAGGGUGCAUAUGCAACUCGGUCCUCACUACAAGGCUGGGUAGCGUUACCUCUGUGGGACUGAUGGAACCAGUUGCCUACUUCUAACAAGCCUGCCUGGAAUCUGGGGCAUUGAGGACUUCAAGAACUUGCAGGUUAGCCAAAUCUCGGUAGAUUGAAAAUGAAAGACCAGCAAAAGACAUACGCCAACACAAGAUUGUCUCUUUGCCAAAAUUCAGCCCUUUGUUCCAAGGGUGAAGGUGCUGGAAUGUUUCUGAUGUUAGAAGAUAUGUCUUCUGACAAUUCAGUUUUUAUACAUGGAUGAUCUGUGGUUCUGAAGUUCUCUCCUGAAAAAUUCAGGUAGGAAUUUAACUCCUCACAUGGAAAAUUUCAGGCUAGACUUCUUAUCGUGACUAAGUUAAGUAAUGGAAAUUAUUAGGCAAACCUAACUAUAAGCAUUUUUCCACAUUAUAAAAAAACAUGCACCAAACUGCAUGCUUCUUGUUUCGAUUUUGCCCUUAUCCCCUUUAUUCUACACCAAUCUCCGCAUUAUUUUUCUUGUUCAUUUUAAAAGCACAGGCUGCUUGGAACGUGUUUCCAACCUUCUUGUCUUCAGAGGUCCAAGCACACUUGUGGUGAUGCGUGAAAAGCCCAACAAUUCCCAUUUCUGUUCGCAUGGCAGGCCCAAGCCUCAAUGAGACUCAAGGAAGACCUUCUCAGGUGGCCGCUCGGGGAAGCCAGCAGAGGCACCGUGGGCACAGCAGAUGCCCCUCGCUCCCACAGACCCCUCCUUUUAUGGGCCUGUGUUGAAAGCAGGACAGAGCUCUCAGAAAACGGUGCAUGCUGUUCCCCCCAGAUCCCAGUUCCGGGACACGGAGCUUUAAGGACAGGCGUGUUUUUCACAAAUAGCCAGUCUUUUCUGGACCGAGUACCUCAGCAGUUGCUCCUCCGCUAUCAGCCUCACGUCAUCUCCUGGGAUGAGUUCUGAUUUCUCAAUACAGAUUACUUGCACCUGGAUGGCAAUGAUAGGGUGUUGGCAGAGACACCAAGCAGACAAGAGGAGAGGGGAGAAGCCUUGCCAGACCUUGUGUGUGCAACUGCUGAGUCAGUUCAACAGCCUCCGAUACCCCCACCCCCACAAACACAGGUGCAGAUGGCCAUAUAAAAGUAAUCUUAAUUUGGCUGCUGCCCAAAUUCCACAUUCCUCUUGGCUCCAUUGGACCCGUUUUCCCACAUGACCUCAUCCCCCAUGCCCUCGUGGCAGACAGCCAGGCAGGCAACGUGCAGUUGAUUCUCCAAACAUCCAGGAGUUGUUGUGGAAGUGGGAAGGAGAUGGGAUUCCGAUAUGGGCGAGAGGAAGAGCGGAUCGGCAUGCCUGGGUCUGGGCCUUUGACCUCCAGACUUCCCCCACACCCACUGGAGUCUGGGAGCCAGGUCCUUGGAGCUACCGGGCUGCCUCUGCAUCCUUCCGCUCCAGCAGUGAUGCACAGGCUGCAGGAGGUCCCUCCAUGCGAGGGACUCUGCUGGUGUAAAGCUGCUCCGCAUGGAGCCCUGCAGCCACCGCUCUGUCUCCUCCACGACAGGAUUAGCAGCUGCUUGGUGGCAUCAGGAUGCUCCUGCGAGAGACUCAAGCUGCUGCAAGCCAGCCUCAGCUGCUGGCAGAACUGGCCAGGCCCCUGCCCCUCUCCAUGCUCAGCUCCAGGUAGUGGAGGGCUGAGAUGCAGCUACGUGAACAACUUGAGUGCCAGCUUGAGGACUGAGGGUUACUUCCCACACCCAUCUCAACACAUAAGUUAAUACUGUGUAUAGCUACAGCAUAUGGAGCUCAUGGACAUAUCAGAACACAAUGACUGAAGAUGAAGAAAGUUAAGUUUAACCUACGCAACACUUAACGAUGCUCUUGACCACCGUGCAAAGUUUUUCUAAAGCUACUAUAUUCACCUGUCUACAAAAGAAGAGUAAAUCCUUUCUUUUCACUUCAGCAAAACAAUCAGCAAGUCCACGUGUUCACCACUUGCCAGGAAGACUAAUGAAGUCAAAGCCAGUGGUAAUGAAACACAUGACAUCUGAAUAAAGGUUGUUUCCAUGAUGUGUUUCAGUUUCCAAAAUGAAGCCACUUUGCGUGCAUGACUAACAAACUUUGUAACUCGCCUGAUCUGCUUCUGAGGGCAUCUUAUUUUUCUCCCUCUUCAACGAUUUUUCUAAGAAAAGUAAAAAAAAAAUAAAAUUGGUCGAUUUUGAUUACAGUAAAGCAGAGACAAAGCCUGGAGUACUUCAGAUAGCAAAAAGUUUCAGGAAUUCACAAACAGUUUGAAACAGGAGAGUGGUCACAACUUCACUGCAGGGACCACUGCUUCAGCUGCUAUGACUGGUAAAGGAAAAUCAAAAUCCGUAGCACUCAGAUGUGUACCAUAUUUCAUGAUGCACAUCUAAGAACCACCCAUUCCCUCGUCUCGUGUUUAGCAUAUCCCAUGUGUUAGGGCGAAAAAUAAAAACCUGAGCAGUAGGCAUGAGAAUGACAACACCAUCGGGAGCCUCCUGCUGUUGGAGGCUAUACCGAGGGGAACUUUUGACUAUCAGCUUGGCUGAGCUUCAAAUUUGCCCUAAAUAUGGUGCAACUGGCUGAGAAGAGCUGGGACAGCAGGGUGAGAAAGUUUGCCACCAGAGAGCUAUCAACAUAAGCGGGUGACCACCUUCCUCUUUGCUAGGCUCUCACACAGACUGAUCAUAAAGGCAACACUAAUAAACACUGCCAAGUGUUAGGUACAGCGCAUGCCAAGCUCAAGCAAGGUUGCUAAUGCAGAGCAGAGGCUGUGGCCUGGCAGACUGGGGCAGAGGCACAGAACAGCACAGAGGUGUCUGCGUGAGCACUGUGGAGCUGGUGGUGGGGAGGAAAAAAAUAAUUGCAAGAGGAAUUCCAUUUUUAACCGGUUGCUGAGAUGCACUCUGUGCCUCUUGUUCACUGUGAGGGUGGUGAGGCACUGGAACAGGUUGUCCAGAGCAGCUGUGGAUGCCCCAUCCCUGGAAGUGUCCAAGGCCAGGCUGGAUGGGGCUUUGAGCAACCUGGUCUAGUGGAAGGUGUCUUUGCCCACGGCAGGGGGGUUGGACUAGAUGAUCUUCAAGGUCCCUUCCAAUGCAAAACAUUCUAUGACUCUAUUUAAAUCUGAAUUGUGUAAGCAGCGGAAACAGAAAGGGAAGGGUGGGCAAGGUUAAGGCUGCCCAUUACAUUUCCUGGAUUGGCUGGGAAAGAAUCAUUUGGCAUCUGAAUACACUGCAGGAAGCACUCCUGACGUUGUGUCAACACCUUUACCCUCCUUCAGGGUUAUGACCAUAUGUCAGAGAUCUUCUUCCCAUGGUAGCCAUGAAGUUGCUUCGCACUUUUUGCUGGCUCCUAGGCAGAAAUACUGAGUGGGAAGCUUUACUCUUUCUGUCAAGCUAGACCACGGUCACUGCAACCUCCCAUGGUUGCAAACUGCAUCCAGAGAUCCUAUGGGCAUCCUCUUGCACAUGAGCUCUGGGCUAGGAUUUAGGUUGGAAUCAUGCUGUGAACUUGGGAGAAGGGAGGUGUGUGGGAAGGAAGAAAUGAGAACAGAGGGGAAGGACACUGCAAGAGCCAACAACAGGAUGGAGGAAUGGAGAUACACAGGAAACUUGUCCUUACCAGAAUGCAGAACAGAAAACUGUUGACAAGACACCCUACAUGAAACAGAGCUAUACAAAAGUCUAUUAGCAGCUUUGGAGGUGUGCAUGAUCGCAGUCAUCCUGAAUUUGAAUCACUAUCUGUUCCUGAAACAGACAGCUAGUUAAUGCUUGGUCUUAAAAGUUGGAAGAGAUCACUGAUCAUUUGAGCAUGUUUCAGCAUGAUUGAAAACAAGUAAGGAAAAACCUACCUUGCAAGUAUGAGCAAGCCAUGUUUGGGAUGAUUUUUAUUUUAUUAAUUUUUUUUUAGAAAGAGCAUUUAUAAAAAUGGCUCUGUACAUACGGUAAGUAGAACAUUUGGUUGCACUGUGGUCAUCUCAGUGGUAUUAACCUGCAGCCUAGUGAUUCAUUAUUUGUAACAUCACUAUCUUUGUGAAGUACCAGGUCACAAUCAUCGUAAACCCCAAAUAUUUCACAUCAGUACUAAAAUCUUGAUCAGUCUUUAAGAAUGAAAAAGGAGGAGAAAUUAAGUCACCAAACAGGCAGGUUAAUCAGAUUCUGUGGGAACACACAACAGGACAAGCAGAUCAGGUCAACAACAAUUUUGGCUCUAAUAUGCUGAAGUGUGAAUAGAUGCUGUUAUGCCGUGCUUGUCAAAAGACCACACGCAACAGCUUGGCCAUGUAAGCAAUUACUGUAACAUUCUGUGGACCUGCAAACAGCAAAGUAAUUCCAGAAGUGAACGUGCGCUACUGAUCUCAGCUAGUAAAAUUCAGCCCCGCUCCCACUUCUACAAGUUAUAGCAGUCCAAACUCUCAUUAGACAGCAAGAAUUCAGGGCAAGGAUCAUCCUCUACUAUGUGUUUUGUACAGUGCCAAGCAUGAGGGGGUGGAGGACUCUAGCUGCCACAUAAUAUAAAUAAUAGUGAUUCAUCUUUCUGAUGCCUCAGUAUUAGUUUGAUUACCUGGCUUGAUUCACUUGAAGUCUGCAAUGGCUUCCGUGGGCUGUCAGAAACCUUAUUUCCUCAAGCUGUUUAUAUCGGUGAAAAAAACCCCAACACACCUGCCUGCAAGAGGAUGGGUUCGAGGCAGAACACAACACAGCCUCUCCUCUUCAUGCCAGAGAAUGCAAGUUUGCCUGAGCUGCUCUUGAGGUGAUGAGGAAGUGUGGGAAUCCAGGCUCUGUAUCUGCAGCCAAGAGCAGCUUAUCUGUAGCUCAGGUGAGACUUGUACUUUGGGGGAAACAUAUGCCCUAAAUUGUGCUACUCCUUCUCACCCCGGCAAGGGUCUGGAGGUUCCUUCUUUUCCCUGAGCACAUGGGGGCAUGUGCAAGAAGCAGGUCCUGGUGCCCUCGCUGUGUUCUAAACCAUGUCCUUGGCUCACUUGCUGGUGCAGCAAUUUUGGGGAAGCAGAUAUUUGCUCAUUUUAAUAAAGACUUGUCUCUAUUAAUCCAUCCUGUCCACAUUCUCAUCAAGAUCCAGACUCUUACUCUGUCUGGGGCUCCAAAUUUCUGGUACAUUUGGAAAAAAAACAGUGCUUUUUUACUCCAGCCAUACUCACCUAUCAUUUGGUUUUACAAUGUCUCAUGCCACCUCUUUUGGUUUUUAUAAGCCCUUGUCCCACCUUGGUCAAGCCACUACCUAGUGCUAGCUGUCAUCUCUUUAUCUGGGUUUAGGUAUUGUGCUUUUACCUUUUCAGCUUGUUCAAGGCCAUGUAUUUUUCAGUUGGUUUUUUUUUUUUUUGGGGGGGUGGGGUGGCUAGGGUUUAGUCAUGUGGUUAUUCAAUAUGUCCCCCUGCAGCUCUUACUCCCAAGAGCUGAUGAUUAUGCUGACAGCAGCAUCUUCAAUCUAAGAGUACUGUUCUUUUCAGUGGAAAGAACUAACUGGUGAGGAAAAAGCAAAAAUGCAAAACAAAUUAGACUUUUUAAAACAGUCUUCCUGCCUGCCUCUUCUAUCUAAAUGUUAAUAAACUACCCACCGACCUCUGCAAGUCUAAGUUUUGAAGCAUUUUCUUUCAAUAACCAGUCUGGUUUCGCUGAACAACUCCACACCAAGACAGCAUUCCCUUCUAAUUACUAUAUCCCUUCAGUACAUGUUCUUCUCUUUAUCCCUUCCUGGCACUGUCCUUUAAUCAUGCUUGUGAAACAGUAUUUGUGGGAAAAUCACACCUCUCUUUGGCCUCCACUGUAUCCCUUCUCUUCCACCCGAGACCCAUGACCAAACCCCUCCUAAUCUUUGAGAAGGCUUUUAACUGUAGGAAUACCCAAAGACAGACAGAGCCACAUUUUCAAGUGCAUCACAAAAUUAAUUCUUGUAAUCUACAGCAGUUACAGGCACAGUAUGAACCUCAGCCUUCUUCCAACUCCCCAGCUAAAGCAGGUGAAAGCAUUCCAAACUAAACUCUUGCAAUUUCUAAAAGCAAUGUCACAUCUCUCCUUUUUAUGCAAGUAAUCUCUUAUUGGUACAGUUCAGUCAGUCACAGCUUGAACUGCAACUCCGAACACCUACUAAAAAUUGACAACAUGAGGUAGGCAGGUUACAUCGCACACUCUUGAAAAGACCAUAAAUCUCUCUUGUGUAGCCAGUGAGAAGCAACUCCCUGUCAGCAGACACAAAAGAGGAGAUAUGAAGAUAACCUUUCCCUAUCUGUGUUGCAAUAGCCUCUGAAGGCUGUAAACCUCUCCAGAGCAGCCGUUACAAUGAUGGCUCUGCAUGUUGUGCUUGAAGAAUAGUGACAUUUCAUCAUCUGCCUACUAGAGAUGCCGAAACAAUGGAGAAGUAUUCUACAGUUUUCCAAGGGCACACAGGGCUAGCAAUGCAUGCUGCUACUACAUCUGCUAAAGCUUUUGCACUGCCCACUCACAAAUUACUAGUAAGUUUCCCAUGUGCUUAUAAUGGACUUCUCCCGCCUGACACCUCUGCUAGACAUACCUCUGCAACUCACCCUGCUAUGCUGCAGAACCUCUGCUCAAAUAACCUUAGGUUAGCAACAGCACACUUUGGCUUCCGGCUUUCCUGGGCGUGCAUCAAUGGCUGAUACUCAGCACUUUUCUACUUCUCCAUGUACUGGAAAAAAGCAAAAAGCCAAAUGACAGCCUUUUAGGUCAUAUGCAGUCAAGCAAAGGCCACCUUGAAUCAGGACUGAUGUUAGCUGCUGCUGUGUUCUACAGUCUCCUGUAAGAUCCAUUUCCUAAGUCACUCAGCAUAGGAUAGACUUUUCCAAAGCUAUCUCUGUACUCAGAGCCCACAUUCCACUUCCACGUGAUGGAGGUACUUAUGAGCCUACGACCCACCCAUUUUUGAAAAGGUGACUUUGAAAUCAGACAAUCUGAUCUAGGAAGGGACCUCUGGAUGCCAUCUAGUCCAAAGUCACUGCUCAGACAAGGUUUAACCAGAGCAGGGUGCACAGGGCAGUGUCCAAUUGCAUUCUGAAUAUCAGUAAAGAUGGAGAUUCCACAGCCUCUCCAGGCAACCUGAUCUAGUGUUCAGUCACCUUUACAGUAAAAAAGGUUCUUCUUACGUGACCUUAGCUCAGUAUACCGUCUGUAUAUUUUUUCCUCUUGCCUCCGAGGAACCUGAGAAGUUGCCUACAUGUUUGGGGGGAACUUCCUGCAAGCAAAGUAUAAGCAGGAAGGGUGAGGUUCUCUGCCAUCCAUACAUCAUUCUUAUGUUUUUAAGAUAAGAAUUUACAGCAUAGGUUGCUAACGCUGAAAAGGGAUGUUUAUUAUUGCAUCUAUAUUUUAGCUUACAGCCAGCAGAAACUGCACAAGCAUCAUGGAGUCAACCUUAAAGAGAGCCUAUGUCAUAGCAGUCACCUUUUUGUCCCUCUUUGCCACUUUCCUGUUACCAGCAUUGAUAAAGUUUAAGGGUGGAAGAAGAUUUAUAUAGGAUACUGACAAUGCCACCUGUCUCUGAGGCUCAUGAGCGGGUCAAAACCAAUGCUGUUACUUUACCCAUCUCUUGGUACCUAAUGUUCAGUCUAAGAACAUCACACAGCAUCUGUCCUCUGCACCUCACAAGAAGAAACAGGGCUUUCAAAUGGGAACGAUCCACCAGAGGCUGCCUUGCAACUAGCCACUAAGGGCACUGGGAUUUUUCACCAUCUUGUCCAUCACACCUCCACUCUUCUCCUCUAGGGUUAUUUUUUCAGCAUGCUUACUAUAGCUGUUUUCUUCACCAACAGUGUUAACUUCAGGGACUUGUUAUUCCAUUUUACAGUACUUAGCUACACAUUAUUGGCCCCAGUUUAAAAUUCGAACCAAACCAAAACAAAAAGGUGGGAAAGAAAGAAAUCCUCUGAAGUUUGGAAGCAAAACUCCCAGGUAUGUACAGAACCAUUGCUAAAAGAACAAACUGACAUGAUCUGUACACAGGUAGGGUUGUUUGGUUGAAGUUGUAUCACCUGAGGUGUCAGUAUUCUCUGUACCCUAAAAAAUACCUAAUUAUGAAACAAGCAUAGGAAACUAUGGGCUGAGAUGAACAUAACCAACUUCCAUGCAGUAAUUAAGGUAAUGCUGCAAGAUAAGCCAUGGCCAGGGAGGGAAUGAUGGGUUUUUCUUUGGUAAAACUGAGAAGUGGAUGUGUCAGAUCAGCUAUCCAGCACAGCAAAAAUAAGAUGGCUUCCAAAGUAAGUACGAAGUGUAAUAGAUGUAUGAGGUUAUUGUUUGCAAAGGUUAGAGACAUCUGGGCCAAGACAGGAUUCUUUUCUCUGAAAUGUUAUAUUGAUAUAUAUAUAAAAAAAAAUGCUGAAGCCAGCCUUGUCUGUACCAGAAAAUUAUUGUCUAUUAGUAUGCAUAAAAUAACUCAACAUGAAACGUUAGGGCAGACAAAGAAUACCUUUAAAGGACCUUGAUGCUAACUGAAACAACAGAUGACACACAGUUAAGGAGGACAGUGCUACAUGCCACAUCAAAUUUAGCUCAUGUAAACUAACAUGAUAGUUAAAGGAUGUUCAAGUAUAGCUUCCAGACAGAAGAGGGAAACAAAAGUCAGAACAAACUUGCUUAAGAUGAUUUCUGAUUACUUUGUUACUGGAAGGACAUUACCAGCCAGUUAAGACCAUGGUAAAAAGAGAAUGUAGUGUCUUGCAGGAAUUUUAUUCCCACCAAACAAAGCAAUCUGUUGCUACAUAUAUGCACAGAACUGGUAACAGAUACUGUGACAGUAUAAAUGUAAAUAGAGGAAGUUACCCCAUAGUUCUACCACUUUUAAAAAUUCUGAAAAAUGCAACUGAUAGAUGGGCAUAAUUGAAGUAAAGCACAACUGGCCAAUUUCUCAGACCAAAUAGCAGUAGUUUCUGACUUCAUGUGCUCUCUCACUGGUCACUGAUGCUUUUUUUUCCUAAGAUUAUGUUUCAUACUGCUUUUCAAGCAGAGAUUCCAGAAGAAUUCUAAUUGCAAUAGAUAUAAUGUCUGAAGUACAAAACUUCUGAAUUAAAGUGCUGUACUUGUUAAUCAAAAGGUGCAUACUUUCAUUAUGGACAAUUAUAUUUAUGUCUGAGUCUUUAAGUGGAAUUUAUUAGAUUGUGCCAGCAAUUGACAUACAAUAAUAUGAUUGUCAAACACAUUAUAAAUUAAAAUAUGUAUACCAGAAGCAGUCUCACUUCCACAAUAUAAAGUAGAGAAUUCACCCCAUAAGCAGGACAAAGUGGUCUUUGAGCACUUCAAGCACUAGAAAUGGGGUUGAGGUAAUAAUUUCUAUCUUGGAGUAUGGGUAUUAGUUUCUUUCAGAUCACAGUUAUCCACCAACGAAUGCAGCUACUAUACCCCCACCCUCACUACAAAGUAGGAACAUAAGGUGAGGGCAAGACCUACGUAGGAGAGGAAAACAGAAAUACUGGAUUGAAACAUUAUGAUGCCUGACCUUCUUUCAUCAGGCUGAGAGAUGUGUUUCAAGGCUUCCCAUGGCACGGCCAAGCAGCUAUACUGAACGUGAGAGCAAGACUGCUGUACUGAAUUUAAAGGUGACAUAAGGGCUCGAGUCUCUGCCAUGCUCAAGCUCCAGUCAGCACCCACGCAGAGCCAAGAGCUAGUGUGCAAACACACAAACCCUUCACCUCUGCACUGCCUGGUUAUAACUACAGCCACUGGUGUCAGCCUCCCAAAACAUGACGUAGACUGAGAGAUGCAUCUACACAGAUGCUCUGCUAAACCCUAACUCUGCACAAAUGGUUUACGUUGGCAGGAAGUUCCUUGACCAAAAUACGCUACAAUGACACAAACGCUUUUGUAAGUACAACCGCAUCCACUUCAGUACAGAAAGGAAUGACAUAGGGCAACCUACACCGGCACUGUCAAAGCACCAACAGUUUCAAAGAGAGCCAGCUCUCACGUAUGUUAGCUACCACAGAUUCCGCCACAUUUCCUCCGAAUCAGUCUCGCACAUGAACCGAUGCAAGGGGCUGGCAAAUGGUGGCUGUAGUGGGAGAGAAGGCCUUUGUUACCCUCUGCCACAAGGUGUUUGCUUGCUUGCUGCAGGAGGAAUGCUUCAACAGCCUUGCCCAUGUUCAGCUUCUCCCACUGUCUGGCCAAUACAGCUGAAAACGUGAGAUCAAACCAGAGGAUGCAACUGACACUCUCUUCCCCCUCUUUUCUCAACAAGAAUUAGCUUGGGGCAGCGAGGAAAGAACAAGGGAAAUAAAGGAAAAUACACAAAGUAACAGUAGCUUUUUCUUCAAACUGUCCAGGAAAAAAGGCAAAGAAGCACUGAUUUUACACUCUUCAUGUCCUGUUUCCGCACACCCCAUUCCCAAAUACAGGACACAGCACAGCAAUGAAAACAGUGAGCUACAGUUUCCCUCCCCCGCCCCAUCGCCCGGUACUUACCCACCUGGAUGUCCUGCACCCGUGUAACUGCCCUUAACUAGCACUGGUGGAAUAUGACAUUAUAAAGGUAACUGCCUGAAAGCACUGUAUAGACAUCUAGGUGGGUUUCUUUCUUUGAAGGUAGAACUGGCAUAUCCUGAUCUUUCCUUGUAGAAUGCCAAAUACCGAUUUAUUUCUCUUUUCCAGAUUCUUACAUGUUUUCAAAAUCCACUAAUGCAGUUUGUUUGAGGAAGAACUUGAAAUGUGACCUUUUUAUUAAUUACCAAGAGAAACUGAAUACACAAAGGUUUUCCUUUUUGUUCUUGUUGGGUUUCGGUUGUUUCUCUGUGUGUUUUUGUUUUCACACACAACGGGAAGGAAAUCAUGUGCUUCUAUAACUGGCCAGCAUUUCUCUAUCACAUCAGAAAAUAUUUUUGAAGCUUGGAUAAAAAGAGAUUGGCCAAAUAUUUAAAUACCUUUUUAUGCCCCCCCCCCUUGGCAAAAUUUCAUGUAUUUUCCUUAAAAAACCCAAACUUUUAUUUUCUGUUGUUUUUAUUCUCUUGUAUUGUAAGAGCUGGCAGAGGCCUGGCCACAAAUCUUCCAUUAAUAUUAAGAAAAGAAGAUGUGGGGAAACCUUUUCACACAGUUCUCUGAAAAUCUCAACCUUUGAUAAAACAGAAUGCCAAAACAAAAGCAGUAAUAACAUGGUUGACAUAACUUGAAUGGUUCAGUUGUUUAAGCUUUAUCUGAUUCCGUGCUUCCUGAAUAUGGGUAGUUUGGUUUCUGGGAUAAUAGCAAUUUGGAUAGUUACUUCAUUAUUUCAUCUCAACUGGGUUUUUGAGGAAAUGUUAGUUGAUUUGUGGGUAUGUUGUUCUUAUUUACCAAUGAAAUACUAUAUUCAACUGCAGCAAAGAUUUUUUCCCAUUUGUUUUAUAUAAAAAUAAUAGCAAUUCAGCUGUAUCCCUGGAGGAUUUAAAAUUGACAAAAUCCUUCCAAGGGUUACUUUAUAGUCCUUUUUUUGUUCAUGCUUCCAGUUUGUCAGCAACUGAAUCAAUAAUUAACUUGGACUGUCAUGUUUUCUCUAACAUAAAUAGAACAUUUAAAAUAACAACCCUGAAAAGCCCUAUUUUCUUUAGGUUACCCAAUAUCUCAGAAAAAGCAGGCGGCUGCAAACCACUGCACAAUUGAUUUGAAUGUUUUGAGUUCCGAGAGAAAGUCAGCUGCAGGACAUCCACGUCUGUUUUUCAAAGGCUCAGCAUGAACAAAACCUGAGCACUCUUUACAGGUUUUCUAAACAAGUGUAUGACAGUGCUCUUUGCUUUUUCACUGCCUAUGGAAGUGGCAGGUUAUUCCUAGCCUUACAAACACCUUUGAUCUGGAUCGGUGAGGACCUGUCAAAGACUCUGUUUUCUUCAGGGCUCACAAAAGAUGACAACAGAGAAGUAUGCAGAGAACUGCUCAUGUAUCAGUCUUUUCUGAUUCAUCGGGGGCAAGCAGAAGUGAUGCACCCAGCUGAAGGAGCCACAGGCAAGGUUUGUGGUUGUGUCCUGCCUUUCUGCUGCACCUGGUGUAUCAGCACCUACCUGCAACCAGGGCUCUCCAGCAUGGCCCAAGUGCAGACAGCGGAGCAGAACCCUUCAGAGCCACCGGUCAGGCAUGGAGAUGCAUGAUGUACAGACUGCUGCAACAACAAACACCAAGACCACAUUGAUCAGAACAUCAUCUUACUGGCUGAUCUAAUCUCACUGAGAGAAAGGAAGGCUUAUAAAAUAUGUUUGAAGACUAAACAGUACAACCAGUGCCAAGUUUCACUUGACUCACACUAUGUGGAAGCUGAGGCCCAAAUAGCCAAUGUUCUCGUCUGCCAGAGGCCCAUGUUCUCAAGUUCAAACACAUUUUAUAUUUGCCAGUCAUAUUUCCAGUAAUCACUAAGUUCUACUAAAGAAGACAUUUAAUAACUCGUAUGACACCAUACACUAUAUUUAAUUUUCUCUUUAAAAUACAUUAAGAAACAUUUUGUAAACCCCAAAUCCUUUAAUAAACAAAAUGUAAUCAGUAUGGGUGUGUGUACCCAGAUUUCUGUGUGCGAAAGAGAUUUUGGAAACUAAGGGCUCUAAUUCCAUCUUUUCUGAAAGGCCCUAGAUUUUAAAAGGUCAGACCAGGAACUUUCAAAUAAAGAAAAACCCAUGAACGCGCAGAAGGAGCACACAUCUGUUAUGCUGCAGUUCGCUCUGCAAUCCAAAAGCAACACUGGGAAAGGCACGCAAACAACAUAACAAUUUUGGUGGUUCUGGUGGGAUUUUAGAUAAUGAAGAAAUUUUUGGUUAAGAGCAAACUAGAAUAAAAGCGCUAUGAAAACUCAGCAUAUUCCAGCUCUAUCCCCUCCUUCUGCAUUGCUCUGAAGAAAAAAAAUAGAAAGAAACCUCUGACAUUUCUGAUCCUCCUUCUAGAGGGAAGCAGAGAGUCUGUCAGUCUUCCUUGUUCCAGUUCAGAGGCUGUGCAAGUGUAGACCGAUAUUUUAAAACCGAAAAGGGAUUUACCAGAGUCCAGAAUAUCCCCUCCCAUAGGCUGCCUUAAACAAAGCGGAGCUGUGGGACCAAGGCAGAGGAAGCGGUCUCGGGUGGCAGCCCAUGGUUUGGGAAGGUGUCCAGGCUGCUGAGCGCCUGCAGUGCCCCAGAGCGAGGACCACAGCGUGGGCAGGGCAUGGCUUUGCUCGAUCUCAUCUAGAAGGAAUCCUGGAAAACGUAAUCCCGGGAUCUGCUGGGAUUUGCAGACCUCCAUAGAAAGGCGUAUUUGGAAGGAGCACAAGAUAGAAGCAGCCUCCUUUUUAAUAACUUAGGAAAGCCUGAAAGAAACUACAGAUGAUGUUCAUCUCUCCUGUAAGCAGGGAGAAAACCUCCUUGUUUGACUUUCAACGUCAAAUCUGAGGAGGCAGCCAGUAACUGAGCCACAGCAACACCUGGGAUAGUUUAAAACUAUGUGAACAGGCCCUUUUUUUAAAAAAAAAAAAAAAAAAGUGGUUUUAAUUGCUUGUUUGUUUAGACUUCGCUGCUAGAGCUCUGGGAAGAAAUUUCUCUUCAGAGAGAAGCUGUAUUGUUUGUUUGUAAAAUAGCUUGAUAGGCAAAGCCUGCGGGGAAGAUUGGUCUGUAACAUACAGGAAAAGCAAACAAGAGUGGUAAUGGAUUCAAAGGUUAAUGCAGAGUCCAUGAGGAAAUUAAUUAGGUUAAUGAAUGCCCUCAGCUACCCACCCGCCACUUCAUCCAAAUGUAAUGGCACAGCUGCACCCCAGCUCUGGGUGCAUCCUCAAGAGGGCUGGGAACUGGAUACUGUGAGAUGCAACCCAUGCAAGCCCUGAGUGUGUGACCCUGGACCAGUGUACCUAUGCAUGUUCACCUGCUAGGCUGCAACACUAAUACCUUGCAGACCGACUGACUUCAGGCUGGGGGAUCCCUGUUGAUAGCCAUUUGACCUCCUACAGUGCACAGGCCACAGUAUGUUAUUCUGCAAUUGAAGGAAACCCUUCUUUUCAGACAUGUGUGUGUCACUGAGCCCGAUCUGGUAAGGCUGAACCAUUGUGCAGGUGUAAGACUUAUCCGUUUCCCAACCUGUCUUUAUAGCUGAAUUUUCUCACAGUAGCUCCAGAAAAGCUUACAAGCAGCUAAAUUAACCUCCCAGUGCAGCUUAAAUUCAGGCAAAAAUUUCACACUCCCCAGUCUUUUCCCCAAUUUGGGAUUUAACAAACUCCAUCCAAAAUUCCAGGUCAAACCUGGUAAGCAAUUUACUGUGACUGGCUUAUUUAACAUCAUCCUUUCUGUACUUCACCGUUACCUUCAGGAACUACCUUGAAACUGUAAGGUGCUGCAAAAAGUGUUUAUGUAAAUUAAAGCAGCAAUAAAAGGCUGCCAAGAAAUUCCAUAGUAUGCUACCAAAAUAAAACCUCAAGCUACUUCACGUAACCCCAAAGCUGAGGCUGAAAAAGCAUCACAGUUAAAAUAGUCAUGAAGUUGUGUGUUGGGGUUAGAAAAUUUCUUUCAGAAUGAAUUUCUGACAGAAAAUGUAGUUUGGGUAUUACUGAAAUUUUGUCGUUUCUGAUUUGACAAGAUUUUCCCAUGCUCAUGAACAAUCUAAAAGAUCCAUCAGGCCACUUCAGCAUGGCUGCACUGGGGGCGUUCUGCCCUCUCCCAGCAGCUCUCCAGAACUAUGUAGCCUUGGGGGAAUUUUAGUUUUCAAGCAUCCAAUGGACCAGUUCUCGGUUGUGGGCUGGGCUUCUGGAUAGACCACACCUCUCAUAACACAGUUUUUUCUCCUCUCAGACUGACCAGUUUGGAGAAACCCAAGUGCAACCAUGAAAAAACAUAGGAAGAUGCAGUUCAGGUUUGAACUAACUCAGAAUGAGUUAUUUUGUGACUUCUAGAUUUACAGUGUUUGAAAUAUUUAUAAAAACAAGAUAUAUUGGUACAAAGUAAGGGGGAAAAAAACCAAAAAAACCCCACCCAGAGUGAAACAUUACAAUUCUUUUUUUUUGCCUCCAAUAAUGAUAUAAAGACUAAAUAUAAUCUAUGGACAUAAGAAAAACCAGUGAUUAAUGGCUAUGCAGACUGCUGCAUGUCCAUAUAGUAGUGGUAUGUGUGGGUCUGUCAGGUGCGAGAUCUUGGAAAGCCCCACCUGUUCUGCAUUUAUGAGAAUAUAUAAUAGAUCUUUGGUAAGAUCUAUCAUUCUAUCCAAGUACAAGAGAAACAGAG